UACGUAGGUGGCGAGCGUUGUCCGGACUUACUGGGUGUAAAGGGCGCGUCGGCGGGGAUGCAAGUCAGAUGUGAAAUACCGAGGCUUAACUUCGGGGCUGCAACUGCAACUGCAUAUCUUGAGUGUCGGAGAGGGAAGUGGAAUUCCCAGUGUAGCGGUGAAAUGCGUAGAUAUUGGGAGGAACACCAGUGGCGAAGGCGCCUUUCUGGACGACAACUGACGCUGAGGCACGACAGCGUGGCGAGCAAACAGC
RNAcentral lists this ribosomal RNA (253 nucleotides) under uncultured bacterium. Its description in RNAcentral is "partial 16S ribosomal RNA". It matches the Rfam family "Bacterial small subunit ribosomal RNA", at positions 524 to 776 of the family's 1533-position model. The record is from RNAcentral.